Molecule: ribosomal RNA, 338 nt
Filed under: Shigella flexneri
Lineage: Bacteria; Pseudomonadati; Pseudomonadota; Gammaproteobacteria; Enterobacterales; Enterobacteriaceae
Also listed under: 1 other name
Description: partial 16S ribosomal RNA
Rfam family: Bacterial small subunit ribosomal RNA
Source: RNAcentral
GAGACUGCCAGUGAUAAACUGGAGGAAGGUGGGGAUGACGUCAAGUCAUCAUGGCCCUUACGACCAGGGCUACACACGUGCUACAAUGGCGCAUACAAAGAGAAGCGACCUCGCGAGAGCAAGCGGACCUCAUAAAGUGCGUCGUAGUCCGGAUUGGAGUCUGCAACUCGACUCCAUGAAGUCGGAAUCGCUAGUAAUCGUGGAUCAGAAUGCCACGGUGAAUACGUUCCCGGGCCUUGUACACACCGCCCGUCACACCAUGGGAGUGGGUUGCAAAAGAAGUAGGUAGCUUAACCUUCGGGAGGGCGCUUACCACUUUGUGAUUCAUGACUGGGGUG